This 253-nucleotide ribosomal RNA is filed under the name uncultured bacterium. RNAcentral describes it as "partial 16S ribosomal RNA". It matches the Rfam family "Bacterial small subunit ribosomal RNA", at positions 524 to 776 of the family's 1533-position model. The record is from RNAcentral.
UACAGUGGGGGCAAGCGUUAUUCGGAAUUAUUGGGCGUAAAGGGCGCGUAGGCGGCUUUUCAAGUGACGGGUGAAAUCCCUCGGCUUAACCGAGGAACUGCCUGUCAGACUGGAAGGCUUGAGACCGGGAGAGGUGAGUGGAAUUCCCAGUGUAGCGGUGAAAUGCGUAGAUAUUGGGAGGAACACCAGUGGCGAAGGCGGCUCACUGGACCGGAACUGACGCUGAGGCGCGAAAGCGUGGGGAGCAAACAGG